This 819-nucleotide ribosomal RNA is filed under the name uncultured eukaryote. Its description in RNAcentral is "SSU rRNA". It matches the Rfam family "Eukaryotic small subunit ribosomal RNA", at positions 629 to 1426 of the family's 1831-position model. The record is from RNAcentral.
CGGUGUUUAACUGGCGUGAUGUGGGACGUCCUACCGGUGGGCUUAGCCUCGCGAGGGGCGGCCCAACUAAUAUCCCGUCGCGGUGCUCUUUACUGAGUGUCGAGUCGGGCCGGUACGUUUACUUUGAACAAAUUAGAGUGCUUAAAGCAGGCUAUCCUCGCCUGAAUACUGCGUGCAUGGAAUAAUGGAAUAGGACCUCGGUUCUAUUUUGUUGGUUUUCGGAACCCCGAGGUAAUGAUUAAUAGGGACAGAUGGGGGCAUUCGUAUUGCGACGUUAGAGGUGAAAUUCUUGGAUCGUCGCAAGACGGACAGAAGCGAAAGCAUUUGCCAAAAAUGUUUUCAUUAAUCAAGAACGAAAGUUAGAGGUUCGAAGGCGAUCAGAUACCGCCCUAGUUCUAACCAUAAACGACGCCAGCUAGCGAUCCGCCGAAGUUCCUCCGAUGACUCGGCGGGCAGCUUCCGGGAAACCAAAGCUUUUGGGUUCCGGGGGAAGUAUGGUUGCAAAGCUGAAACUUAAAGGAAUUGACGGAAGGGCACCACCAGGAGUGGAGCCUGCGGCUUAAUUUGACUCAACACGGGAAACCUCACCAGGCCCAGACACCGGAAGGAUUGACAGAUUGAUAGCUCUUUCUUGAUUCGGUGGGUGGUGGUGCAUGGCCGUUCUUAGUUGGUGGAGCGAUUUGUCUGGUUAAUUCCGAUAACGAACGAGACUCUAGCCUGCUAAAUAGGCGUACCUUAUGGUAUCGCGAAGGCCCCCGGCUUCGGCCGGUGGGUUUUUACUACCAACGUACAAACAAAUCUUCUUAGAGGGACAGGCGG